Molecule: long non-coding RNA, 1486 nt
Organism: Daphnia carinata
Lineage: Eukaryota; Metazoa; Arthropoda; Branchiopoda; Diplostraca; Daphniidae
Exons: 3
Source: RefSeq, a predicted model, not a curated record
GGAAGUGAUCAGAAAGUGCCUUCCAGUGACGCGAAACGCAAGACACGCGAAAAAGCGUUACAACAAUAUACGCGCACAUAACAUGAAAUUUCGGCUUCACGCUGGUGAGAUUCCGUUACGUUUUCUACACUUCCCAGCGGCGCACUCCCAUGUCGAUACCAGCAGGAGUCGCAGUUAUUGUAUCAAGUGGCCGGCAUACAAAACCUAAGUGUGUUUGUCGGCAGCAACAAAAAAAUAGUGGAAAGGGAAAAAAGAAAAAAAAAAUUCCCGGUAUCAUCGAAAGUCGUUAUUGACACCACCAUACGAUGAUGACGAGACCGCACAUUGUGUGUGAGUACAAAAAAUUCAAUGUUUUCUCUCCACACGCACUACGUCACGAGAAUUGAUGAUCAUGAUUGGAAGGUGAAUUUGAAACGAGUUGCCAGAAUCGUGUGUCCUGUCUCAUCAUAUAAAACUGAUGAGUUCACUGUUAACUACACGUUCAUCGUAGGUGUUCAUAGACCCACCGCGACAAAAAAAUUACACGUUAAGGCAUCGUUGUUUGAUAGAUUGCUGAUUACUUUGUUUACUAUGUUCUGUCGUAGAAAAAAAGGUGUUAAAGAAUUUUGCUUUUCAGGUAUAGGUAAUCUAUUUUAGAAUUCCAUGGCCGGCUGAAUCAUCGCAUAACGAGAGAGAGAGAGAGAAAGAGGCACGAAACAGAUUCAUUCUGCCCACCCUCGAUUUUAACGACAUUUGUGGAUUGGGGAUCAAUAGCUACGGAAAAGGUCAAACAAUUCAACUCUCUCCCGUUUCUUGUGUCUACCGUUGCCUUUUUUCGCCUACAAUCGGAGUACAACGAACGAAAAACCGCUGCGGGAGAAAAUGGUGUUGUCGUGAGCGCUUCGUGACUUUUCCCAAAUCACGGAUGAGAGGCGAAACGAGGUUACGCUAGAAUUGGGAGCGGUCCAACCACCACCACCUUUAUCUGUCCGCUUUGUCUCUGCAUGUAGUACAUCAUCGCAAUUUUAGGCAAGAAAAAAAAAGAGAAAGUCGAGCUUCAUUGCCUCUUCUUUUUGCGCACAUUGAUGUCGGUGACGGCAAGCCAACUCGAACGAAAACGAAAGCACGCGGGAGUUCCAGAAAAAAAACGCCAUGCAUUGUGAUUAGGAAGCCCGUGGCCGACCACUAGAACAUGGUAAAUAAAUUUCCUGAGCACAAUGGCGCACGAGACAGACGGUUAAAAAUAAUAGUUACAAUUGUGUUCAGCCGCCAAGAAUGGCUGUGUAUAUAAAAAUUCGUGAAUGACAUGACGUAACCUUCCCUCUAGGUGUAUUGUGUCAUCAAGCCUGUUUUUCAUCUUAACGCGACAGUUGUGUCUGUUGACAAAGCGUUCGAUCGACAUCAAGUUAUGAAAGGGAUAUAAAAAUAGUUAUGACAGUAAGUGAAGGACUUUAUUGGGGCGUUUAGAUUUGCAUAUCAAGGGUCUUUGACCUUCACCAAACCUGAA